ACCGGCGCACGGGUGAGUAACGCGUAUCCAACCUGCCUAUAACUAGGGAAUAACCUUGCGAAAGUAAGACUAAUACCCUAUGAUUUCCUUUGAUGACAUCAGAUUAGGAAUAAAGAUUUAUCGGUUAUAGAUGAGGAUGCGUCUGAUUAGCUUGUUGGCGGGGUAACGGCUCACCAAGGCAACGAUCAGUAGGGGUUCUGAGAGGAAUGUCCCCCAUAUUGGAACUGAGACACGGUCCAAACUCCUACGGGAGGCAGCAGUGAGGAAUAUUGGUCAAUGGGCGGAAGCCUGAACCAGCCAAGUAGCGUGCAGGAUGACGGCCCUAUGGGUUAUAAACUGCUAUUAUACAGGAAUAAAGUUAGCCACGUGUGGUUAUUUGUAGGUACUGUAUGAAUAAGGACCGGCUAAUUCCGUGCCAGCAGCCGAGGUAAUACGGAAGGUCCAGGCGUUAACCGGAUUUAUUGGGUUUAAAGGGAGCGUAGGCCGUCUGUUAAGCGUGUUGUGAAACGUAGAUGCUCAACAUCUGAAUUGCAGCGCGAACUGGCAGACUUGAGUGUGCGCAACCGAGGCGGAAUUCGCGGUGUAGCGGUGAAACUGUUAGAUAUCACGAAGAACUCCGAUUGCGAAGGCAGCUUACGGGAGCACAACUGACGCUGAAGCUCGAAAGUGCGGGUAUCGAACAGGACUAGAUACCCUGGUAGUCCACACGGUAAACGAUGGAUGCCCGCUGUUGACCCACAUGGGCCAGCGGCCAAGCGAAAGCAUUAAGCAUCCCACCUGGGGAGUACGCCGGCAACGGUGAAACUCAAAGGAAUUGACGGGGGUCCGCACAAGCGGAGGAACAUGUGGUUUAAUUCGAUGAUACGCGAGGAACCUUACCCGGGCUUGAAUUGCAGAGGAAAGAUCCAGAGAUGGUGAUGCCCUUCGGGGCCUCUGUGAAGGUGCUGCAUGGUUGUCGUCAGCUCGUGCCGUGAGGUGUCGGCUUAAGUGCCAUAACGAGCGCAACCCCUUUCUUUAGUUGCCAUCAAGUAAUGCUGGGCACACUGGAGAUACUGCCACCGUAAGGUGUGAGGAAGGUGGGGAUGACGUCAAAUCAGCACGGCCCUUACGUCCGGGGCUACACACGUGUUACAAUGGCCGGUACAGAGAGAAGGUUGCUUGCAAAGGUAAUCAAAUCCUUAAAACCUGUCCCAGUUCGGACUGGGGUCUGCAACUCGACCCCACGAAGCUGGAUUCGCUA
This 1240-nucleotide ribosomal RNA is filed under the name uncultured bacterium. Its description in RNAcentral is "bacterial SSU rRNA". It matches the Rfam family "Bacterial small subunit ribosomal RNA", at positions 94 to 1337 of the family's 1533-position model. The record is from RNAcentral.